Molecule: long non-coding RNA, 253 nt
Organism: Haliaeetus leucocephalus (bald eagle)
Lineage: Eukaryota; Metazoa; Chordata; Aves; Accipitriformes; Accipitridae
Exons: 2
Source: RefSeq, a predicted model, not a curated record
GCGCUCUUAGCUUAAGUCAUUAGCAUUCUCAUUGUCUUUCACUUUUGACAGGUCUGAAAAUGAGUUCUGGGCUCAUCUGUCACUGAGCGUAGUACGGACAUGUUGGAGCUGACACUGCUGUUGCAGUACAAGGAAGCUCUGGACAGUAACUGAGCAACUCAGCUGCUUGUGGUGGUGAUUUUGAUCAAACAAUAGUAGUUGAAUAAGCACCUCAAGGUCUGUUGCAAAAUCAAACUACUUCAGACUUGUGAAA